This 520-nucleotide unclassified non-coding RNA is filed under the name uncultured Alphaproteobacteria bacterium. RNAcentral describes it as "partial 16S-23S ribosomal RNA intergenic spacer". The stretch from base 401 to 520 matches the Rfam family "Bacterial large subunit ribosomal RNA", at positions 1 to 121 of the family's 2925-position model. The record is from RNAcentral. Lineage: Bacteria; Pseudomonadati; Pseudomonadota; Alphaproteobacteria.
CCUCCUUUCUAAGGAUGAUUGAAAGUAAGAUUUCAAUCUAAAUAAUAUACAGGUUAAUGUUGACCGUCCUCAUUUCUCUUCUUAAAAAUAGUGUUUCUCUUCUGCAUGGGGGCCGGUAGCUCAGUUGGUUAGAGCACACCCUUGAUAAGGGUGGGGUCGAUAGUUCGAGUCUAUCUCGGCCCACCAAACUUUAUCUGGGGGAUUAGCUCAGCUGGGAGAGCGCCUGAUUUGCAUUCAGGAGGUCAGCGGUUCGAUCCCGCUAUCCUCCACCAAGAAACACUUAGUUAUUUUUUUUGUGAAUAUUUAAUAAUUUAUAUCAAUAUCUAUAUCCGAACAUUAAUUCAUUUAUUAAUGUUCAAAUAAAAAAUUUGAUUCAACACAGAAUUUUUUUCUGUGCAUAAAUCAAGCGUUUAAGGGCGUGUGGCGGAUGCCUUGGCACUGAAAGCCGAUGAAGGACGUGGUAUACUGCGAUAAGUUUCGGGGAGCUGUAUGCAGGCUUUGAUCCGAAGAUUCCGAAUGG